GCAAGUCGAACGAGAAAGCUUUCUUCGGAGAGUGAUUAAAGUGGCGAACGGGUGAGUAACGCGUAGGUACGUGCCUCUUAGUCUGGGAUAAGCAUUGGAAACGAUGUCUAAUACCGGAUGUGAUCUUCGGAUUAAAGGCUUCGGCCGCUAAGAGAUCGGCCUGCGUUAGAUUAGCUAGUUGGUAAGGUAACUGCUCACCAAGGCAACGAUCUAUAGCGGAUCUGAGAGGGUGAUC
Molecule: ribosomal RNA, 235 nt
Filed under: uncultured bacterium
Lineage: Bacteria
Description: partial 16S ribosomal RNA
Rfam family: Bacterial small subunit ribosomal RNA
Source: RNAcentral